RNAcentral lists this ribosomal RNA (494 nucleotides) under uncultured bacterium. Its description in RNAcentral is "partial 16S ribosomal RNA". It matches the Rfam family "Bacterial small subunit ribosomal RNA", at positions 28 to 507 of the family's 1533-position model. The record is from RNAcentral.
GACGAACGCUGGCGGCGUGCUUAACACAUGCAAGUCGAACGGUGAAGCGCCUUCCUUUUUGGUGGGUGUGGAUGAGUGGCGAACGGGUGAGUAACACGUGAGUAACCUGCCCCCUUCUUCUGGAUAACCGCAUGAAAGUGUGGCUAAUACGGGAUAUUCUGGUUCUGUCGCAUGAUGGGUCUGGGAAAGAUAUUGUUUCGGUGGGGGAUGGGCUCGCGGCCUAUCAGCUUGUUGGUGGGGUGAUGGCCUACCAAGGCGGUGACGGGUAGCCGGCCUGAGAGGGUGGACGGUCACACUGGGACUGAGACACGGCCCAGACUCCUACGGGAGGCAGCAGUGGGGAAUAUUGCACAAUGGGCGCAAGCCUGAUGCAGCGACGCCGCGUGAGGGAUGGAGGCCUGCGGGUUGUGAACCUCUUUCGCCAGUGAAGCAGGCCUGCCUCGUUUGUGGGUGGGUUGACGGUAGCUGGAUAAGAAGCGCCGGCUAACUACGUG